GUGUUUUUUUUGGUAGAUCAUGAUGAGACCAUGGCUAACUGCUGGCAGUUAGCUAUGGUUUUAGGAUCAUAAUCUCUUUGUUCCUUUCGGUCGACUGAUCGGACCAAGUCGGUAGAACUAGUGGGGGCACACUGAGUGCACCCACUGGGUGUAGUCCCCGAGACUACUGUCGAAUAUUUUGAUUCGGCUGUAGUCUUAGAAAUGUUAUGAUUUUUCUCUUAGUCACUCGGAAGCAACCUAUCUUUGAUGUCUGUCGACUGACCCUUCGCAGAAAUCUUGUGAGCUUGUGGCUCGCUGUGCUGAGUUGGAAAACAAACAGAUCCAGCUUGACCUUGACUUGAAGCUUGUUCAGGAGAACUUUCAGAAGACGAAAGACGAAGCAAAAGUACGACUGGUGAGAACUUGACGACUGUCUUUAUCUUUCUGCCCAUUCCUGAUUCUGAUCUCAUUGUCAUUUUGCAGAUAAAAUGAAGGAGGCUCUGAAUAAGAAGGAUCAUGACCUUGCCGAGGCACAAAAGGCGGCUUUGGACAAAACGAAGCUUGCGGAAGAAAAGCUGGCUUCAGUCGGUAAACUUGAAGAGGAGAACACCAAUCUAAAAGCUGCUCUCGACGCGGCCAACAAGGACGUCAGUCGUCUGAAGAAUGAUAAGAUAACUCUGAGUGAAAAGGCUAGUGAACUGGUGGGGAAGAGGAACGAUCUGGAGGCUUAUCUGGGAGGGCUCACCAAGAAGUUAUUCAUCAUGCUUGAGGGUAAUCUCUCCUACUCGACUGACUUGUUAUCAUCGACUCAUCGUAGAACUGCUGGUUUAUCUUUGAAUUGUGUUUACAGAAUUCUGCCAAAAAUUCGAGGAGGAGACCAGUCGAGUGGAGACAAGCUUGGACUCCAUUAACUCUCCCGUGAAGGAUGAAACUACUAUGAACGUGCUCCGACUGGAGACUCGUGUUGCUGGUGUGGUUAACUACCUUGCUCGACUGAAGGUUGCGGCGUCGAGAAUCGACACGACACUCUAGCCAGGAGUGACGCUUAAAAAUGACCUCGAGUCUCUAAUGACUCGACUGAAUGAAGUUCUAGGUCGAGUGCAAGAAUGGAAGAAGUCUUCCGCCAGGUGCGGCGCUGACGUUGCCCAGUCCCUGGUCCGCAUUCACUACUAGGAUGCGCGAGAGGAAAAGCUGGCAUCCAUCAAAGUUGCCAAUACCAAGAAGCACGACUUCCAAUCUUUCAUGGAGACCUUCAUUGCUGCAGCCAUUCGGAUUGCUGACGGAAUUGACUUGGACCAGUUUGUCGUGCCCUCCAGUCCUCCACCUGAGGAGUGAGGAAAACUUCUAUGCUUCACCUUAAAUUUGCCUCGGAAUGCCGAGUGGUUCUGUAACCGAUAAACUUUUACGGGCUUGACACCUGAGCACUUCUGAAUCUGUAGGAUGUUAUCCGAACUUGGCUUAUCGUUGAAUAUGCUUGCAUUUGCCUUCGAGUGAACUUUGUUCUUCACUUGGAAUAUACUUUAGUGCUUGAGACGCAGCCUUGAGGUGGAAAAUCCAGUCGACCUGCAUUUCAUCGCUCUUGCAGGUAGGUAUGGAGCACAGAUUGCAGUCGUCCUACGUCCUUGCGGAUCAGGAUGGAACGCACGUUGUAUUUGUGGCGUAGCUCCGAAGGAGAAGGUAGCAAUUGACUCGCACCUCGUCGUCCUUGCUGAGUGCACAUUGUAUUUGUGGCGUAGCUCCGAAGGAGAAGGUAGCAGUCGACCUGCACCUCGUCGUCCUUGCCGAGCGCACAUUGUAUUUGUGGCGUAGCUCCGAAGGAGAAGGUAGCAGUCGACCUGCACCUCAUUUUCCUUGCCGAGCGCACAUUGUAUUUGUGGCGUAGCUCCGAAGGAGAAGGUAUCAGUCGACCUGCACCUCGUCGUCCUUGCGGAUCGGAAUGGAUUUCAUACUUAGGCGAGUACUGGACUGCAGCUAAGCCCCCGAGUGGGAGGGUUGCUCUCCACUCGAUAGGGUUUCUAAAUACUUAGGCGAGUACUCGACUGCAGCUAAGCCCCCGAGUAGAAGGGUUGCUCUCCACUCGGUAGGAUUUUUAAAUACUUAGGCGAGUACUGGACUGCAGCUAAGCCUCUGAGUGAGAGGGUUNNNNNNNNNNNNNNNNNNNNNNNNNNNNNNNNNNNNNNNNNNNNNNNNNNNNNNNNNNNNNNNNNNNNNNNNNNNNNNNNNNNNNNNNNNNNNNNNNNNNNNNNNNNNNNNNNNNNNNNNNNNNNNNNNNNNNNNNNNNNNNNNNNNNNNNNNNNNNNNNNNNNNNNNNNNNNNNNNNNNNNNNNNNNNNNNNNNNNNNNNNNNNNNNNNNNNNNNNNNNNNNNNNNNNNNNNNNNNNNNNNNNNNNNNNNNNNNNNNNNNNNNNNNNNNNNNNNNNNNNNNNNNNNNNNNNNNNNNNNNNNNNNNNNNNNNNNNNNNNNNNNNNNNNNNNNAGUACUGGACUGUAGCUAAGCCCCCGAGUGGGAGGGUUGUUCUCCACUCGGUAGGAUUUUUAAAUACUUAGGCGAGUACUGGACUGCAGCUAAGCCCCGAGUGAGAGGAUUGCUCUCCAUUCGGUAGGAUUUUCGAAUACUUAGGUGAGCACUGGACUACAGCUAAGCCCCCGAGUGGGAGGUUUGCUCUCCACUCGUUAGGAUUUUCAAAUACUUAGGCGAGUACUAGACUGUAGCUAAGCCCCGAGUGGGAGGUUUGCUCUCCACUCGAUAGGAUUUUUAAGUACUUAGGCGAAAUGUAUUCGCAGCUAAGCCCCCGAGUGAGAGGCUUGCUCGUCACUCGGUAGGAAUUUUUUUUACAAACUUAGGUGAAACGGAUUCGCAGCUAAGAUUCCACCCACUGGGGGAUUUCUCACGUAAACAAAAGCAACAACAAUCACUGGGAAAAUUAUAACACUCUUGUCUUUGAUAAACAAACUAUAGAGGUACUUUCUAUUACAUCUCAUCCGAGUGAGUACUUAAGUAUAAAAGGGGCGGAGCAGCUCCGCAUUCCAAGCUCGUGGCUCAUCAAUCUGGCGACCGACAUUGUAAAGAUGGUAUGCUCCAUUGUGGAGUACUUUGGUGAAAAUGAAGGGGCCUUCCCAAGUGGGGGCGAGUUUGUGUGGCUUCUGUUGAUCCACUCGGAGGACCAAGUCUCCUUCUUGGAAGGCUCGACUCUUCACGUUUCUGGCAUGGAAUCGAUGCAAGUCCUGCUAAUAGAUAGUCGAUUGGAUCAUGGCCAUCUCUCUUUCUUCUUCUAGAAGGUCUACUGCGUCCUGUCGGGCUUGUUCUACUUCAUCUUCCGAGUAGAGCUCGACUCGAGGUGCAUUGUGAAGCAGGUCACUCGGUAGAACUACUUCAGCUCCAUAGACCAGAAAGAAUGGAGUUCGCCCAGUCGACCGAUUAGGAGUAGUCCUCAAUCCCCAAAGAACUGAUGGAAGCUCGUCGACCCACGCGCCUACUGCGUGCUUGAGAUCACGCAUCAACCGGGGUUUCAGUCCUUUGAGAAUUAAGUUGUUUGCUCUUUCUGCUUGCCCAUUCGACUGGGGGUGAGCGACGGAAGCGUAGUUGACUCGCGUGCCUUGAGAAGCGCAAAAGGCUCUGAAUUGGUCGGAAUCGAAGUUUGACCCGUUAUCAGUGAUGAUGCUGUGCGGGACUCCAUAUCUGAAUAUCAACUCUCUGAUGAAGCUGAUAGUAGUGCCGGCAUCAAGAUUCUUGAUAGGCUUGGCUUCGAUCCACUUAGUGAACUUGUCGACUGCCACCAGUACAUGGGUGAAGCCGCUCCUGCCAGUUCUCAGUGGUCCAACCAUAUCUAACCCCGGACGACUGAAACACUGAUUCUAUAGCGGGCUUCUUGGCUUGUAACAAAUCACUCGGGUCUGCAGUUUUCUGGUAUUCCUGCAGCUCUACCACUGCCAUCUGAGCAUCAGCGAUCUUUGAGCCUUUCUGAAAGCACUCUUCCGCCUUCUUCUGAUUGCCAGUAAUAGUGAUCACACCUUUGGGGCCAGGCAUCUUCAAUUUGAGGUACACAUAACAUGGUCGAGCCAUAAAACGUGCAUAAGCUGGCCUGCCCAAAAUAGCGUGAUAAGCACUCUGGAAAUCCACAACAUCAAACGUCAACUUUUCUUUGCGGUAAUUUUUGGAAUCACCGAAAACCACAUCAAGAGCAAUUUGGCCGAGUGACUCAGCCUUCUUUCCAGGAAUGACUCCAUGGAAGCUCAUGUUGCUGGUACUGAGUCUGGACAACGGAAUACCCAUCCCUUUCAAUAUCUCUGCAUACAGUAUAUUCAGGCCUCUGCCGCCAUCCAUCAAAACAUUAGUCAGUCGAGUGCCUUUGACGACUGGGUUGACCACCAGAGCUUGCCUCCCGGGGGUGGCUAUGUGUGUCGGGUGAUCAGACUGGUCGAAUGUGAUGGCAGUCUGAGACCAUUUUAGAUAACUGGGUCUCACCGGAGCAACCAUAUUCACUUCUCGGUUUAUAACUUUCAGUCGACUUUUGCUUUCAGCGUUAGCAAAAAUCAUCAGGGUGGAAUUGACCUGGGGAUAUCCAUCAUCACUAUCUUCUUUGUCCUCAACUUUGUCCGACUCCUUUUCCUUAUCUUUGGGUUGUUUCCCCUGGAAUUGCUGGAUCAAGAGCCAACACUGUCGAGUGGUAUGUUUCGGGUAAAUGAGUUUACCCUCCUCAUCUUUGUUCGUGUGGAUGUGGCACGGCAAAUCCAACAUGUCAUUCCCUUCCUUGUCCUUCACCUUCUUAGGGUUCCAAGACCCUUUGGGCUUCCCUUUAAACUUUCCUUGAGUCACGGCUAAGGCUUCUCCUAGAGCAGCUGGCUCGGCUUUCCGCUUUUGCUUCCGACUAGAGUUCCCUCCUUCGGUUUCGUGAGCGACUGACUUGUGCUUGCCACUCCGAAGCCGAUCCUCUUCUUCACCAUUGGUAUACUUGGUGGCAAUCUCCAUCAUUCGACUCAGAGACAUGUCUCCGAUUCGACCGAAUUUCAGGUUUAGCUCUCUGUACUUAACGCCUUCCUUGAAGGCACAGACGGUCUGGUGAUCAGACACAUUCUCUACCGUGUGAUGCAACAUGAUCCAUCUCUGGAUGUAAUCUCUCAAAGUCUCAUUCGACUUCUGCACACAAAAUUGCAGCUCUGUCAACCCUGCUGGUCGCUUGCAAGUUCCUUCAAAUGUUCUGACAAACACUCGAGCCAGAUCUUCCCAAGUGUAAAUGCUACUGGGUGCUAACUGAUUCAACCAUGCUCUGGCCGAGCCCUCCAACAUAAGAGGCAGGUGUUUCAUGGCUACUUCAUCGUUGCCGCCGCCAAUCUGAACAGCCACUCGGUAGUCUUCAAGCCAAGUAUCAGGCUUAGACUCACCAGUGAACUUACUGACUCCAGUUGCCAACCUGAAGUUGGGAGGAAUCACCGCGGCCCUGAUGGCUCUGCUGAAACACUCUGGUCCUGAGACGUGUACUCUGCUACUGGUGGGGACAUCUCUAUCAUGACCUUCUUGGUGAGCUCUGUUCCUGUCGACCAAACCUUGAAUGAUAAUGGAUCUUGCAUCAAAGCCUGGUUCCCUGGGGUUGACUGGAACCCUUCGCCCAACCCCGUGAUGGCGUCUGUCAUCCUGCUGUCGAGGCGCGUAUGAUCCACUCCUUGGGGGAGGAGUGGGCACUCGACGUCAAUCAUCGCGAUCGAGUCGGUGAUUAUACUACUCACGGUUCUGAUACUGAUCACGCUGGUCUCCACGUCCCUCACGCCUCGGGGGCGAUCUUGGGCUAUGGGCCAACUGGACUGUAUUUGCAGCGAUGGAUCUGCUGUGAAUCCUAUUCUGCGACUGCGAUAUAGCUGAAUUUUGAUCUCCUACUGCUCGGAGUAAUGCUUUGAUCUGUAACAAGCCUCUGUCAGCCUCUGACUGGGAAGGUUGAAUCAACUCUGCUAUACGGGCUGCAGCUGCUAAAUUCUGAAUCGGAGUUCGAUAUACCUGAGUCGGUGGUAGAAAGAGUUGACGUCGACUGGAUUCUGGAACCCGUUGCCGCACACGCUCAUCGAGUGCUUGCUGGAGGUUCUCCAGUCGAGUGUGCUCAGCCAAGUUGUCCAAGCGCGCGUCCUCUAAGGCACGAGCCUCGGGGGUUUCUCCAAUGAUAGGAGUGUGUAGCGCAUCCAUGUUCUGGUGGCGAAGUUCUUCCCUCUGCAGCGAAGUGAGGGGCUUGGGGAGAUCCUCUUCAUGGGCAUGCGACGGAUCGCCUGCGCCGUCGCCUCCGUCGGUGCGGGGAAAACCGGGAGAACUGCGUGGUCCAUCGACAAUCAGAACCUCCGCCGCUGGAUCACUGCUGCCGCACUUUGAUGCAGUCUCUGCGGAGCCAGUCGACAGGUCGAACAGGCCGUAGAGAGAUUCAUCGGGCUCGAUCCCCGUGACUUGGGGGGUGGCCGACUGGCGAGCCACUGCGUGCCUCACCCACCACUGAAGCCUCGACCGACUGGAGCGCUUGCGCCGGCGGGAAACGGGGAGGGGAGGACGACACAGGGGCCGAUCGAUACUGGGUCGACGUUUGCCGCAGGAGGACGCACGCGCGAAAGUGCGUUGCCCCGUAGACAGGGAGCACGUCGAUGUCGAGCGGAGCCUCCUGAAGCCAGGCGGAGUCGUCGGCGAUGAACGUGAGCGCGUCGAGACGAAUCUCGCGGCCCUCAACCAGAGCUCCGCCUGAAACCAUGAUGAAGGAGAUCGGAAAAAUCGCAACUUCUCCAAUAAGUCGCUAAGACACCUGCCCCACGGUGGGCGCCAACUGUCGUGGUUCUAAGCCUGACAGUAAUGUAGGGGGGUAGGAAUGGAGAGGCAAGAUCCUAGCUAUGGAGUAGUUGUAUACGCAAGAGAUUUACGAGUUCAGGCCCUUCUCGGAGGAAGUUACAGCCCUACGUCUCGGAGCCCGGAGGCGGUCGACUGGAUUAUGCGUGUAUGAGUUACAGGGGUGCGAACCCUUUACACUGAGGAGGGGGAUGGCUUAUAUAGAGUUCGCCAGACCCCUCCGGCCCUCAGUUAUGUAGGGUUUAAGGUACAUUAAGGUCGGGCAUUACUGGUAACGCCAUAAGUAAAGUGCUAUGAUGACCAUAAAAGCUACUCAAUGACCGACCGUUUGUAUGCAGAGUGACUUUAGAUCUCCCGGCCGUCGAGUGGUUGGCUUCAUGGUCGAGUGUCUUCGAGUCUGUCGAGUGGAACACUUCUGAGUCGAUUGAUAGGUGGUUUCUUCUAGAGAUGUCCUUGGGUAGGGUAGUUUGGACAGGUCCAUGACCCUACCCUAGGUACAUAGCUUCAUCAGGGGGACAAUCCAACCGUUACCCCCCAAAACAGCCCCGCAGAGGGCAGUACUACCGCAGGGGGGCAGCGGCACUACCGUUGGGCCCAGCGGUACUACCGCUCCCUCUCGCAGUACUGUCGCGCAGUCAGGGAGGGCAAACAGAAGGGCAGACAAAGGACCCAGUGCGGUACUACCGCGGAGGUAGGGCAGUACUACCGCUCGGGAGCGGUACUACCGUUGGGGAGCGGUACUAUCGCUUCUACUGCCGCUGCAUAGUGCCGCACAACCCGACACGAGAGGCGACCUCCUCGAGUCGAGGCGGUAGGAGCCCGACACUGCAGCGGUACUAUGGCUGAGGACCCCCAGGCAGUACUACCGCUGCAGAGCGGUAUGCCUCCUGUGGCUCUGAGCGGUACUACCGCUGGGCACCGCGGUACUACCGCUGGGACCAAGAAAAAGCACCUGGGAAGGAAAUGGAAGCUCCAUCGAAGCGGGAAGGUUCAGAGGGUGCAAAGAGGAUGUGUAUGUGUUGAUUCCACCCUAGCCUUACCAAAGCGGACCCUCUCUCGAUAGUACGGUGACUCCUAUGAAACAUAUCCACCAAAACAGAAACGAAGGAGCUACACCAUCUUAGAUUAGAACUCCGAGGGAAAGGAAUAGUCUUGUGCCAAAGGAUGAGUCUUUGAAAAGCUCAAAGCACACGAUUAGCCCGCAGACGUGUUGUCAUCAAUCACCAAAACUACAUCGAGAGAGAUAUACCUUAACAAUUUGCAUAAAAUAUGGGCCAAUUUAAAGGACCCUCUUAGCUGGCGAACGUUCAAUGGAGGGGUAUCAUUCCAAACGAUUUUGCUGCCAGCUUUAGUUUUGAGGGGAUGUCACCUUCUUCAGAACAAUGUGACCGUUUCUUUAGAAGAAGUCAUUUUCCGUUUAAAACCGAUGUUGUUGAUCUCUCGAAGCAAUAAAACUAACAGGAAAAAGCGUUCGCCUGCCAUCCCCUCCAAAUUGACAUUAGCCAGAUAACAUUACCGAAUUUAAAACCUUCUACCUAUAGUCGAUUUUAAAGCUACAACACUGAAUAUAGAUGUUGUAAGUAUUUUUAGAUAUAGACAAAAAGCUUUCAGUUCCUCCAAACUAUUUUUUUUAUUUGGCAUGGGAAACAUCUCCCAUUCUUUCUUUGACUCCUUUUCUUUCUUUAUAUCGAAAAUUAUCCCAAAUGACAAAUGAAUAGGUGUGGAAGUUGUAAUUGUAAAUAAACCAUGAUCAAAUCUAUGGAAGCAUUGCUUUAUAUGUUCCUUUUAGUUUUUCCUUUUUUAUAUACGCCCCCUCCAGCCGCAUCCCAUCCACUCUUCUCCAAUCCGCCCCCACCGCUGCUGCCAUUGCAGCUGUGCAGCUUGGACGCGCGCUCGCCCAGCCCCCUUCCCCUCGACGCCCCUGAGCUACCCAACCACGGCCACCUGAUUAGCGCUCCCCGUGGCCAGAUUUGGAGCGGAUCCGGUCGGUCUUGAGCUCGCCCGGCUGUGGGAGGCCGCGCCACGCCAUGGAGUGGCCGGGCACCGGGUCGGAAGGCCCCGGCAAGGCCAGAAGGCCGCAUGCAGGCAGUGGCUCCUCCUCUAGCCGCUCGGAUCUACACCAUCGGUGGUCCGUCGGCAGAUACACGAAUGCCGGUCGGCCGGGCUCGGUGCUAGCCCAAAAGCUUGUCGGCGCACCGUUGCCACUCAUUAAGUGUGACGACUGCCCAAAAAAGGUCGUGUGCCGCGUGUCUACAACACCGGAACAUUCUGGAUGGGUGUUCAUCAAGUGCUUAAACGACGGGGUAUGUGCUACUUUAGCUUCGGUUGUGCUCUCGGAUUUGACUACUUGUGCUAACCUAGCAUUUUAUUGUGUAGAAUGGAUGCAAGUUUUGGUAUUGGGAAGAAGAGUACAUCGAUAUAUUGAUAGCGCGCAAUUUAGUAGAUGUUCGUGUACUUUUAGCUAGCAUAGAAGCUAGAGAUGAGACUAGUGCACUUGUUGAUAGAAUAGAGGCUAGACACGAGACUAGAUGUGAGGAAGCAACAUCGAUUUCUUUACACUUGAAGAAAGAAGCACGCAAGAUCGAGCCUCCGCAGAUCAACAAUGAGUGCAUCGAGAAGGCACUAGUCCAACUUACAGGAGCAGUUAUGAAAGUUGGAUAUCUUCUAAAAUGUAUUCUUAUGGUUCUUGUUUUCUUUGGUCUUACUUUUCUAGUCAAAACUUGGUGAUGUAUUCCCAUGUAUCAAAAAUAAAUGAUGAAAAAUGUUUAUAGGCUUGCAAAGAAAAUGUACACGGGCAGGAUGCGACCGCGCGUUGGGGCGCACGGCCACCGCAUCCGAGAAAUGACCCGGACACGACUCCAUUGCCCUAUCCAAAUGGACAGAAUCCAGGCAAAACGGACGUCCAUUUGGGGUCAUGCGGUGGAGUUGGCCUAAGUCAUCUGUACAUGUACGCACACCUCUGGCCAGAUCGAUCUAUCAUCCUACUUUCCCUACAAGUAUUGGUCAUAAGAUGAUGGACUCAAAGAGACCAAUGAGCUAGCGUUUCUCAGUUUUUUUAAAAAAAGAGGUCCCGACCUCUUUUUGAAAUACUACAAAAAUACCACAGUUUUACAGACACUAUGGUUUGUUAGGCUGCAGUAUUUUUUUUAUUCAAACACCUCAAAGUAUUUAAUACUGAAGUUUUUUGAGAAACCAUAAUAUUCCUAGAAAACUUCAAAAAUACUUAGCUCCCAAACGCACCUCGAAGUAUUUAACAAAGUAGGAGAGAUAAUUCCAGUGCAAACACACCAAGGUACAUGGUUAUCCACAUUACAUACUUGCCCAAAUAUGCAUACAUGUUGGCUACCGAAAUUCAUCAUAAAACCAAAAGAGAACGAGCAUAAUCACUGGAGCUUUUUAGUGCAGUUCUUCUCUAAGUGACAAUCAAGACCACAAAGAUGCCAACUAACUCCGAGCUACCGGCUUGAAGCCGAUUUUUUUGGUGUUGAGCUUAGGUUUUCUUAUCAAUUACUACCUCCGUUCGGAUUUAUUAAGCCUCAUUGUAUUUUGGGUCUAACUUUGACCAUAUAUUUGACUAAAAUAUAUAAAAUAUAUGAUACAAAAAAUAUAUUAUUGGAUUUGUAUUUGAAGAUUUUUCUAUGGUAUAAAUUCUUGUGACAUAUAUUUUACAUUUUAUUAGUUAAAAUUAUGAUCAAACUUUGGCUUAAAAUAAAAAGGUACCUAAUAAACGCGGAUGGAUGGAGUAACUAUGGUUGAUGCCCAACGCAACAACAGCGGGGGCUACGGCGGAGCCCGCCAUACCAUUUAAUCCCUCCGUUUAUAAUGUAAAACAUUUUUUUGACACUAGACUAGUCUCAAAAAAACAUUUUUACAUUAUAGGCCGGAAGGAGUAGUUCAAGUUAAGAGGGAGGGCUGGAGGCUAAAAAGAAAAAGAAGAGGCAGGCAACGCCUGUAGCCCUCGUCAUUCUGCUCUCGGUUUUACUUACCACUAUGCUGUCGGACCUGUGAUACUGUAUAUGCAAGCCCGAAUGGUGUUAGCCCAACUCCACCGUGUAACCCCAUCCCGUUCGGUCCCGUCUAUUUAGGGUGAAAGGGACAAACCGACAGGCCAGCGCACGACAAUCCGGAUCCGUUUUGUAUCUGAGUCGACCCAUUUCGAGUGCAAACAUGCGCCGGGUUUUGGGUCGCGGCGGACAGUAAACGGACGCGCGCUUGUCCGCACCGGGGCCACGUGGCAGGCGGCCACUUACCUCCCACCCACCAACAUCAAUGCGCACGCGUGGCCGGGCCCGUCUGUCAUCCGCCCAAUGAAAAGUCGCGGUCUUUCUUAAAUGCGGAAGUCGUGGACCGGUCGUCGUCCACACUCCCCACUCCACUCCGCGGCCUUCCCGAAACCCGACACUCCCAAACCCUAGGCUCGAACUCGCCGGUCGGCCGCCUCGCAGCCAUGGGGCUCUCGAAUUACGGCCGCAAGGGGAAGCACGACCGCGAGGCUGGCUUCUCGUCGGGACGCCGCCGCGGCUCCGUGAAGAAGGAGGCCGCAUCGCCCCCGCGCCAGGCCCCCGCGCCUGCCCCCUUCACCAUCGCCCCUAGGCCUGUUGGCGAGCGCGACCGGCAGUACCUCAGCUUUGAUGUAUGCCGGCGCUACUGGGAGACGAGGACGCCGGUCCCAUGGAGCGACGUCCACCUCCCCAACAAUUGGCACCUCUUCAUCGACCGGGUCCCGAUCCCGCCGGUGCCGAUGAGCGACCAUGCGCGCCGCGAUGAGAUCGAGUGCCGCCGCAUCCUCCCCGACGACCUCUACUUCGACGAUAGGUACGCCCCUGAUUCCAGCCUCUGGGACACGUGCCUCCAGGACGAGCAGGACACGCGGCGCGCGUCUUACUUCGUCGGCACAGUGUCGGAGCCGCGGUGGCCACGUCAGGAGGUGCGCGGGCGUACACGGGUGCGCGGCCUCACGCCCACGCCGUCGCCUUCCCCAUCUCCGUCACCACCUCCACCUCCUCGCAUGACAGCGGAGGAGGAGGCCCGGCUCAUGCAGCGUGUCAUGAAGGACUCCAUGCGCACGCACGAUGAGCGCCAAAUAGGAGGGCCUCGGGAAGAUGAUCGCCCUCUCUGCGACCGGCAACGUCGCCAUCCCCGAGCUGGAGAUGGUGAAGGCGGAGGAGGUGAUGGAGGAGCUGGUGGCCGUGUUCUACCCGGAUCUGGUGGGCCAGCAGUGGAGCUGGUCGUGCACGGCUCCGAAGAUGGCCGACGCCGUGGGGGCGUGAACUGGUGCCCCACGCCGCCGCGGUCACCGGAGCGGGAGGCCUCUCCACAGGACGAGGUGGUGCAGGCACCUCCGGCCUUCCAGCCCGCCACGUGUACCACGCGCUGCCGUCCCACCUCUGGACGCCGCCGGCCUACGUCGACCUCGUCAGCGACGACGACGACACCGGCGGCCACUGAAGACGGCCAUGGUCACGGCAUCGACGGGCGCGGCAGGAGCGCGCGGGCUUUUUUUUAUUUGUUUUUAUAUUAAUUAUGGUAGAGAGUCGUUAAGUGAACCGUGAAACUGGGCCGUUUUGUGGCCGUGACCCCUAACUAAUGUUUUAUGUUUUUAUAACUGCGUUUAUUUACUUAUUUUAUCAUUUUAUUUAGGUUUUUUUAAUUACAUCCAACGCAGACAUGAUUUGGGGUGCGGCUGCGCGGUGGGCACACGCACGACCGAAUGGACAGAAGCAGACAUGAGCGAACCCAUUGCCGCCACAAAAGGACAAAAUCCGGCCAAACCGGACACCCGUUUGAGGUCGUGCGGUGAAGUUGGCCUUACUUCGUGCAUUGUAUUGAGGACUACGUUGUACUCCGUAUAAACCUCGAUAUUAACUUAUACAUUGUGCAUUACAUCAGUAUUAUAAUAUAUUCCUUUUCUACCGUCCCAGUGCCUAAAUGGCCGCAUGCACUCAUUUGGACGGUAAUUAGUUGGUUGUAGAUACAUGAAUCGGACACAUUUGGGCAAGGUGUAAAGCACUUCCAGCUUAAUCGGCUUAUAAAAGAUAGGUACAAUCAACCACUCUCAUGCGCAAGAAGUAAUUUCAUAAGCUCAGGACUUUUUAAUUCAUCAAAAAGGUAUGCCGUGCAUACUAUUAAGAACACCAUCUGAUUCGUUCACACAUCUGGAAAGGGCAUAGCGGCUCAACAACUAGCAAACUAAAAACAGAGAAACCAAGCAUAUUGGGUAGAAUCUACUCCAACACUGCUCUGAAGCGAACAUCAAUCCAAUUCCAAUUGCUAAAACAACUUCUCUCACAUGGCUCGACAGCUGGUGAUCGGAUAAAGAGACAAUGAAGGGGUGCCUUGAACAUUGAAUUAUAAGACAGCAAAUAUACAAACACGCCCAACAAACAAGAAUUAAGAGGGGGCUUUCCACAAUGAUUUGCUAUAAGCUGCUAGAAUAGGCAAUAAACAAUCAAUCUACUUAAUUCCAGUUCAAAAUGGAUGAAACAUGCUUACACUCAACCUGGUAUACAUUGAACAAGAUGAACAUACUCAUGUAUAAUUAUUUUGCCUAGAACCAAACAGAUGUAACAGAGAACUCAACAAGACAGUCAGAACACAACUACAGACCCCACGAAACUAACCUUUAUAUCCAAACAUCAGCCACCCUCCAUAUCAAAUUUGGGCCA
RNAcentral lists this long non-coding RNA (13453 nucleotides) under Triticum aestivum (bread wheat). RNAcentral's name for it is "long non-coding RNA (TAES_LNC022895)". The record is from RNAcentral. Lineage: Eukaryota; Viridiplantae; Streptophyta; Magnoliopsida; Poales; Poaceae.